Molecule: ribosomal RNA, 450 nt
Filed under: uncultured prokaryote
Description: bacterial SSU rRNA
Rfam family: Bacterial small subunit ribosomal RNA
Source: RNAcentral
UCGGGAAUUUUGCGCAAUGGGCGAAAGCCUGACGCAGCAACGCCGCGUGAGGGAUGAAGGCCCUCGGGUCGUAAACCUCUGUCGGGAGGGAAGAACGGUUGCCCUUCGAACAGGUGGGCAGCCUGACGGUACCUCCAAAGGAAGCACCGGCUAACUCCGUGCCAGCAGCCGCGGUAAUACGGAGGGUGCGAGCGUUGUUCGGUAUCAUUGGGCGUAAAGCGCGUGUAGGCGGCUUGGCAAGUCGGGUGUGAAAUCACGGGGCCCAACCCCGGAAGUGCACUCGAAACUGCCUCGCUAGGAUCCCGGGGAGGAAGGCGGAAUUCCCGGUGUAGAGGUGAAAUUCGUAGAUAUCGGGAGGAACACCAGCGGCGAAGGCGGCCUUCGGGACGGUGACUGACGCUGAGACGCGAAAGCGUGGGGAGCAAACAGGAUUAGAUACCCCCGUAGUCC